CUGCAGUCGAGCGGACCUGAUGGAGUGCUUGCACUCCUGAUGGUUAGCGGCGGACGGGUGAGUAACACGUAGGCAACCUGCCCUCAAAACUGGGAUAACUACCGGAAACGGUACCUAAUACCGGAUAAUUUAUUUUGCACCAUUGUGGAAUAAUGAAAGGCGGACCAAUCUGUCACUUGAGGAUGGGCCUGCGGCGCAUUACCUAGUUGGUGGGGUAACGGCCCACCAAGGCGACAAUGCGUAGCCAACCUGAAAGGGUGAACGGCCACACUGGGACUGAAACACGGCCCAAACUCCUACGGGAGGCAGCAGUAGGGAAUCUUCCGCAAUGGGCGAAAGCCUGACGGAGCAACGCCGCGUGAGUGAUGAAGGUUUUCGGAUCGUAAAGCUCUGUUGCCAAGGAAAAACGUCUUCUAAAGUAACUGCUAGGAAAGUGACGGUACUUGAAAAAAAAGCCCCGGCUAACUACUUGCCACCACCCGCGGUAAUACUUAGGGGGCAAGCGUUGUCCGGAAUUAUUGGGCGUAAAGCGCGCGCAGGCGGUUCUUUAAUUCUGGUGUUUAAACCCGAGGUUCAACUUCGGGUCGCACUGGAAACUGGGGAACUUGAUUGCAAAA
Molecule: ribosomal RNA, 617 nt
Filed under: Paenibacillus sp. HPCAQH23d
Lineage: Bacteria; Bacillati; Bacillota; Bacilli; Caryophanales; Paenibacillaceae
Description: bacterial SSU rRNA
Rfam family: Bacterial small subunit ribosomal RNA
Source: RNAcentral